GUAGGUGAACCUGCGGAAGGAUCAUUAUAGAAAUAAAACUGAACAGGCUGUUUUUGCUGGUCCUUCUCGAGGGACAUGUGCACGCCUGUCGUCUUUAUUUUUCCAACUGUGCACAUAUUGUAGACCUGGAGUUUUUUUCUUAUCGUUCGAAUAGAUUGAGGACUGCCGUUGAGGCUUUGCCUUGUAUUUUCCAGGUCUAUGUUGUAAUACAUUUUCACAACGUGUUUCAGAAUGUCGAGUACUGGGGAUA
RNAcentral lists this unclassified non-coding RNA (250 nucleotides) under plant metagenome. RNAcentral's name for it is "partial contains small subunit ribosomal RNA, internal transcribed spacer 1, and 5.8S ribosomal RNA". The record is from RNAcentral.